GUGAACGCUGGCGGUUGGCCUAACACAUGCAGGUCGAACGGCAGCACAGUAAGAGCUUGCUCUUACGGGUGGCGAGUGGCGGACGGGUGAGGAAUACAUCGGAAUCUACUUUUUCGUGGGGGAUAACGUAGGGAAACUUACGCUAAUACCGCAUACGACCUACGGGUGAAAGCAGGGGAUCUUCGGACCUUGCGCGAUUGAAUGAGCCGAUGUCGGAUUAGCUAGUUGGCGGGGUAAAGGCCCACCAAGGCGACGAUCCGUAGCUGGUCUGAGAGGAUGAUCAGCCACACUGGAACUGAGACACGGUCCAGACUCCUACGGGAGGCAGCAGUGGGGAAUAUUGGACAAUGGGCGCAAGCCUGAUCCAGCCAUACCGCGUGGGUGAAGAAGGCCUUCGGGUUGUAAAGCCCUUUUGUUGGGAAAGAAAAGCAGCAGGUUAAUACCCCGCUGUUCUGACGGUACCCAAAGAAUAAGCGCCGGCUAACUUCGUG
This 491-nucleotide ribosomal RNA is filed under the name uncultured bacterium. RNAcentral's name for it is "partial 16S ribosomal RNA". It matches the Rfam family "Bacterial small subunit ribosomal RNA", at positions 29 to 507 of the family's 1533-position model. The record is from RNAcentral.